This is a long non-coding RNA of Quercus lobata, 259 nucleotides long. RefSeq lists it as uncharacterized. Lineage: Eukaryota; Viridiplantae; Streptophyta; Magnoliopsida; Fagales; Fagaceae. The transcript has 3 exons. The record is from RefSeq and is a predicted model, not a curated record.
GAAUAUCUUUCAACGGACUUAUUCUAAAAUAUAGAGCUUAAUAAAAUCUAGUUCUCAAGGACUUCUUUUCUAUGGAGAUGAUCUGGGAUUGAACCAUUGUUACUUAUCCCUUCUUGGUAGCCAAAUCAAUGUCUAGUUGGAGAUUGACAACUAUGCUAGCCAAAACGCUUAGCUUAGCAAUGAGCAGCGUGAGGAAGUUUGCACUUUCCAGGGAGCUGCAUGGCAAGGUUUGGAUCAAUUCCAAGUGAAGGCAACAGGU